Long non-coding RNA from Solenopsis invicta (red fire ant), 776 nucleotides. RefSeq lists it as uncharacterized. NCBI's taxonomy places the organism in Eukaryota, Metazoa, Arthropoda, Insecta, Hymenoptera, Formicidae. The record is from RefSeq and is a predicted model, not a curated record. The transcript has 4 exons.
UAUUUUUGAUAAUUUUCAGCAACAAGUUCCUCCAAAAAUUACGAAAACGUCUUAAACAAGGAUUCAGAAAUUGAGGAAGAAGAAAAUGUUAAUAUACCAAUAUCAACUUUAAAAUCAAUAUUAUUUGAAAUAAAAGAGUUAAAAAAGGGACAGGAAAAAAUAUUGGAAGUUAUAAAUCAAUUCGGAAAUGCAAAAAGUACUAGCACAGCUGUCAUAAAAGAAGUUCAAAAAUUGAAUCUUCCUCUGCAAACAGUCGAACAAUUUCAUAGCCUCAUGAAUGAUGAGAAAGCAUUGGCUAUUUUGAUAAGUUCAAAUAAAAUAACUUCAUACCAAGUGAAAAAUAUUUUGUUCUCCUCGGAGGGUUCAACAUAUCAAAUGCCUUGGAUGAUUUUUUAAAAGCAAGCGUGACAGACAAAUUAAUAAAGUCAUCUUUCACGUGGAAAGAGGGAGAUAAAAAAAUUCGAUUCCGAGAAACAGCUCUGAGUCUAAAAUAUUAUGGUGCUCUUCGGAAAAUUGAAAAUUUCAAAAAUAUUUCAGUUAAAGACUACGAAUUAGAGAUGUCAAAGAUUAUAAAAAAUGCACAGCAGCGACAUUAUAUGUCUGAGCACAGAAAGGAGCACGGAAAUGUCAAUGCUUUGGAGAAGUCACGCGCUGAAAAUCUGCUUGCUGCUAAGUAUGCGGCGGCUAGCAUGACCUGAUUACACGUAAAUCAUAUAAUAUAAUUUUUUGUAAUAAAACAAUAUAUAUUAUCUUAUAUAAUAAAACAUUAAUACAUA